AACGGGAAAUGGAAAAGGGCUCAUCGAAGGAGGUUGCGGGUUUUGCCCGUGGCGAUGCUGCUGGGCUUUGCCCGUAAUUUUCGGCUCAUCAACUGUUCCUUUUACUUUAAUUUGGCCAUGGGGGUUCUCGGAAUCAAAUUCCGAGCGGGUAGAAGAAUUUUUACCUUUUUUGACGGUCAGAGGUGGCUCCGGCGUGGCGGGGGGUGGCGGUCGACUCCCUUCUCCAACGAUUGGUUCCUCUUCUCCAAUGGGAGGUUGGCGGCUAGGGUUCAGGUUCGGUGUGAUAUGAAAUAUUUAUAUUCAUCUUGCAUUAAUCUGGAUCGUUUAUCACGUUUGAUAUCGAUCAUUCGAUCACGUUUAAAGAGAAAAUGAAUUUUGACUGUUCAUUGCG
Molecule: long non-coding RNA, 391 nt
Filed under: Carica papaya (papaya)
Lineage: Eukaryota; Viridiplantae; Streptophyta; Magnoliopsida; Brassicales; Caricaceae
Description: long non-coding RNA (CPAP_LNC008325)
Source: RNAcentral